Molecule: ribosomal RNA, 247 nt
Filed under: uncultured bacterium
Lineage: Bacteria
Description: partial 16S ribosomal RNA
Rfam family: Bacterial small subunit ribosomal RNA
Source: RNAcentral
AUACGAAGGGUGCAAGCGUUACUCGGAAUUACUGGGCGUAAAGCGUGCGUAGGUGGUUUGUUAAGUCUGUCGUGAAAGCCCUGGGCUCAACCUGGGAACUGCGAUGGAAACUGGCUAACUAGAAUGUGGUAGAGGGUAGCGGAAUUCCCGGUGUAGCAGUGAAAUGCGUAGAGAUCGGGAGGAACACUCGUGGCGAAGGCGGCCACCUGGACCAGUACUGACGCUGAGGCACGAAAGCGUGGGGAGC